RNAcentral lists this transfer RNA (58 nucleotides) under Camelus bactrianus (Bactrian camel). It matches the Rfam family "tRNA", at positions 8 to 63 of the family's 71-position model. From Rfam's summary of the family: Transfer RNA (tRNA) molecules are approximately 80 nucleotides in length. Their secondary structure includes four short double-helical elements and three loops (D, anti-codon, and T loops). Further hydrogen bonds mediate the characteristic L-shaped molecular structure. tRNAs have two regions of fundamental functional importance: the anti-codon, which is responsible for specific mRNA codon recognition, and the 3' end, to which the tRNAs corresponding amino acid is attached (by aminoacyl-tRNA synthetases). tRNAs cope with the degeneracy of the genetic code in two manners: having more than one tRNA (with a specific anti-codon) for a particular amino acid; and 'wobble' base-pairing, i.e. permitting non-standard base-pairing at the 3rd anti-codon position. The record is from Rfam by way of RNAcentral. Lineage: Eukaryota; Metazoa; Chordata; Mammalia; Artiodactyla; Camelidae. RNAcentral also lists the same sequence under 2 other names.
UAGCUCAGUGGUAGAGCACAUGCUUAGCAUGUACAAGGGUCCUGGGUUCAAUUCCCAG